This 2392-nucleotide long non-coding RNA is filed under the name Salvia miltiorrhiza (redroot sage). RNAcentral describes it as "long non-coding RNA (SMIL_LNC000552)". Lineage: Eukaryota; Viridiplantae; Streptophyta; Magnoliopsida; Lamiales; Lamiaceae. The record is from RNAcentral.
UUUUCAUCAAAUAUGCAUGAAAACUCCAUAUAUAGAGUUGAGUAUAUAUUAAGUCUUGUUCACUUCUGUUUUUGUUUUUUAAUACAAAUUUGUUAUAUACAAAUAUACUAUAAUCUAGUUUAUUUAACAUCACACCUCAUUUUUUAUCUUGUUUUUGUCAUUUCGUGAUCAUUAUUUUUUAUCAUUAUAAAUACCCUUUAUUUACAAAAAAAAUAAAUAUUAAUUCAAUCUCAACCACUCAUUUCAUACAAUUCCUCCAGUCGUAUAGGGUUCUCGCGAGAUGAGCUCGCGCUUGCUCCGUGAACCUUGUUGUGAAUGUUCUAAUGCUCCCUCUGUGCACGAAAAAUAUGAUAUUUUUGGUAGACACUAGUUUUAAUAAAGUUGAUGGUAAUUUUAAUUCUAAAUUUUUUUUAGAAAAACUCAUAGUAACAUUUUCUUCUUCCGUCUGUUCCCUAGCGUCAUUUCGGUCCCCGCUUAUGGAAACCAAAUCCGCAUCGACAACGCCGCAGCAAGAUGGCGGCGCCGCCGCUAAGAAGCAGGGGCUGCGGAAGCCGGUGUUCGUAAAAGUCGACAGCUUGAAGCCGGGAACGAAUGGGCACACGCUAACUGUGAAAGUAGUGACUGCCAACACCGUUCUCAACAAGAAGCCACGCAAUCCGACGUUUCGUGGGCCUCAAAGUCAGAACACGAAAAUCACGGAAUGCCUGGUUGGCGACGACACCGGAACGAUCCUCUUCACCGCCCGCAAUGACCAGGUUGAGAUGAUGAAGCCAGGUAACACAGUGGUACUCCGAAAUGCUAAAAUAGACAUGUUCAAGGGAUCAAUGAGGCUGGCAGUCGAUAAGUGGGGCCGUAUUGAGGUUGUUGAACCAGAAAAGUUUGUGGUCAAAGAGGACAACAAUUUAUCCCUAGUGGAGUAUGAGUUGGUUAAUGUUGUGGAAGAAUCUUGAAGGUUUAGUCCAUGUUGGGGUUCAAUUAAGUUUAUGGCUUCGAUCUGGUAUACUGAUUUCUCCGAUUAGUUUUUGUUUUUUUGUUUCUCUCCAUUAAAGUAAUUAUCGUGUAGGACUAAGUUAGCUUGGUUUUAAUGGUUGAUGUGUAAAAAGAUGGACCUCGAUUUAUAGCACAUCUCUGUUAGAAUUUUGUCUAUUGAUAGAUUUGCUUGUCAGCAGCAUAUGUAGUCAGCCAUAUUGAUCAUUAUCUCAGCUCGGAGUUGCAUAUCAAAAAAAAUUCUAAAAAAUGUUUAUUUUUUUAAUUCUUGUUUUUUUUUUUUAAUUUUUUAAGAUUGAAAUUUGAAUUUAAUGAAUUUUUAUUGUUAAAUUCAAUGUUUAAUUUAGUUGAUGUUCGAUUUUGAGAGCUACUUAAAUUUCAUAACUAAAAUAAUUAAGCACGUGCUGCCUAAUUACACACUCUUAUAUCAUUAAUUUUUUUUAUAUUUUUUCGUAUUAAAUAAAAAAUUAAAUAUUAUUUUUACGACUUUAUCGAGUUCAACACUUGUAAGCUUAGAGCAUCUCCAUUGGGGCUCGACUGGCCGGCGCGAGCCGUGUGUCUCUUAAAAGACUCAACGAAUGGAGAUGCUCUCAAGUAUUCAAUGGUGGGAAUGACUUGUUCAUCUUUACACGAACAAUCAAACACGCUCGUCUAUUUAUCACACUUUGAUAAUUUUCUAUUUUUUAUUAUAUAUCUUAAAAAUUAAAUUAUAUCAAAAAAUUACUAUAAUAAUUUUAUAUCAAUAAGCAUGUGAACAACAAAGUAGGACAAAAGGAAUAUUUAAUUUUGGACAACGCUUUUAGGAUUGUUCAUUGUUCGACUAAACUCAGACUCGAUCCAUUUUUACAAUCCUGAGAUAGCAUUUCUCACUAAUUUGGAAAAAUUUCCAUUUUAUUUCUCUCUGCUAUUACACAAGUGGAAACGUGUACAAGUACAACAUCCCAUUUAUUUGGAUUACAUCCAUCAAUCAAGAAGUUCAAAAAAUUCAUCAAACCUCAAGCACAAAUUCCUUUUACAGUGUUUGCAGUGGUGAGGUUUCAAAUGUUGCAUCAAGCCUUGCUUAGAUUUCCCAGAAAACAUGGUUAUGUUACGCUGGAAUUGCUUCUUGAGUAUUGAGUUAGCUUUUAGUUUCUAAGCUGCGAUAUGUAUUUGCUACAGAAUGGAUUUACAUAUCGUUAUGUUUUGAGAGCUGAUUGGCUUAUUUUUCAUCAAAUUUUGGGGCGCCUAUGCAUGAAAACUCCAUAUAUAGAGUUGAGUAUACAUUAAGCCUUGUUCACUUCUGUUUUUGUUUUUUAAUACAAAUAUACUAUAAUCUAGUUUAUUUCACAUCACACCUCAUUUUUAUCUUGUUUUUGUCAUUUCGUGAUCAUUAUUUUUUUUAUCAUUAUAAAUACCCUUUAUUUAC